RNAcentral lists this ribosomal RNA (307 nucleotides) under Draconarius trifasciatus. Its description in RNAcentral is "partial 12S ribosomal RNA". The record is from RNAcentral. Lineage: Eukaryota; Metazoa; Arthropoda; Arachnida; Araneae; Agelenidae.
AAACUAAUUUAUUUUGACAGCCUCUCAUUUAAUUAAAGGAAUUUGUCCUUUAAUCGAUAAUCCACGUUAAAUUUCACUUCAAUUAUAAUUUAUAUACCGCCAUCUCAAGAAUUAAUUUCAAUAUACUUCUCAGAAUNNNNNNUAAAAAGUUAGGUCAAGGUGUAAUUUACAUUCAAGAAUAAGAUGAAUUACAUUAAAUAUAAUCUAAAGAUUAUAUGUAUAUAUAUAUAUAUAAAUAAGAAUUUAAAAGUAAUAUUUUAAAUAAUAAUAAAAUAUGAUAUAAAUAAUAAAGGUGUACACAUCGCCC